UCGUGCUAGAUGGGGAGCUAGCGGUGCCCUGUAACCUGCAAUCCGCUACAGCAGGAUUGAAUUCCCACUAUAGGCUUUACUCUGUUGAGUCAGUAUGAUAAAAGUGGUGUUGAGAACUGGGUCCCAUGCAUCAGAAACUCAUGAAAUCCGUCAGGUCUGGAAGGAAGCAGCGGUAAGUGAUUAUUUCUGAGUGCCAUGGACAAACCUAAUUUGAGCUAACUAGAUUGGUACUAUCAGUAGAUUAAUUGUCGAUAGUGGGUGCACGA
This 266-nucleotide signal recognition particle RNA is filed under the name Clostridium sp. HMP27. RNAcentral describes it as "Bacterial large signal recognition particle RNA". It matches the Rfam family "Bacterial large signal recognition particle RNA". Rfam says of the family: The signal recognition particle (SRP) is a universally conserved ribonucleoprotein involved in the co-translational targeting of proteins to membranes. Archaeal SRP consists of a 7S RNA and homologues of the eukaryotic SRP19 and SRP54 proteins. The record is from Rfam by way of RNAcentral. Lineage: Bacteria; Bacillati; Bacillota; Clostridia; Eubacteriales; Clostridiaceae.